Molecule: ribosomal RNA, 253 nt
Filed under: uncultured bacterium
Lineage: Bacteria
Description: partial 16S ribosomal RNA
Rfam family: Bacterial small subunit ribosomal RNA
Source: RNAcentral
UACGUAGGUGGCAAGCGUUACUCGGAAUUACUAGGCGUAAAGCGCAGGUAGGUGGUGUGAUAAGUCCGUAAUGAAAUCUCCCGGCUUAACUGGGAGGGGUUUAGGGAUACUGUCAUGCUCGAGUGUGGGAGAGGUAACUGGAAUUCCUGGCGUAGCGGUGAAAUGCGUAGAGAUCAGGAGGAACACCGGUGGCGAAGGCGGCAUCCUGGACCAACACUGACACUGAGGAGCGAAAGCGUGGGGAGCGAACAGG